UUUUUUUGUCUUACCUUUUGUAUCAGGGUUUAUCAAAUAUAUGUUAACUAGAAGUUAACUUUCCCGAAAUUAGAAGAGAUAUAUUUUAAUGGAAGUUUACGUUAUAAAGUAAUUUUGAAUUAAAAUAUAGAGGUUAUAUGCUAUUCAAUUUUAAAUAUCUGGUUAUCUAAUAGAUUAAUUUAAUUAAGGACAUUAGUUAUAGUUGUUUUAAAAUUUAAUUUUUUGCAAUUCUAUUGUCUAAAAU
Molecule: ribosomal RNA, 244 nt
Filed under: Narnia snowi
Lineage: Eukaryota; Metazoa; Arthropoda; Insecta; Hemiptera; Coreidae
Description: partial large subunit ribosomal RNA
Source: RNAcentral